Molecule: ribosomal RNA, 291 nt
Filed under: uncultured bacterium
Lineage: Bacteria
Description: partial 16S ribosomal RNA
Rfam family: Bacterial small subunit ribosomal RNA
Source: RNAcentral
UGAGGAAUAUUGGGCAAUGCCCGCAAGGGUGACCCAGCAACGCCGCGUGGAGGAUGAAUGUCGUAAGAUUGUAAACUCCUGUUAGAGGGGAAGAAUAGUACCGGUUGGACCGGUAUAUGACUGUACCCUCAGAGAAAGCCCCGGCUAACUACGUGCCAGCAGCCGCGGUAAUACGUAGGGGGCAAGCGUUGUCCGGAUUUACUGGGUGUAAAGGGCGCGCAGACGGGAUAAAAAGUCAGUGGUGAAAUCCUACAGCUUAACUGUAGAACUGCCUUUGAUACUUUUAUUCUU